This 497-nucleotide ribosomal RNA is filed under the name uncultured bacterium. RNAcentral's name for it is "partial 16S ribosomal RNA". It matches the Rfam family "Bacterial small subunit ribosomal RNA", at positions 28 to 507 of the family's 1533-position model. The record is from RNAcentral.
GACGAACGCUGGCGGCGUGCCUAAUACAUGCAAGUAGAACGCUGAAGGAAGGAGCUUGCUCUUUCCGGAUGAGUUGCGAACGGGUGAGUAACGCGUAGGUAACCUGCCUGGUAGCGGGGGAUAACUAUUGGAAACGAUAGCUAAUACCGCAUAACAGUAGAUGUUGCAUGAUAUCUACUUAAAAGGUGCAAUUGCACCACUACCAGAUGGACCUGCGUUGUAUUAGCUAGUUGGUGAGGUAACGGCUCACCAAGGCGACGAUACAUAGCCGACCUGAGAGGGGGGUCGGGCACACUGGGACUGGGACACGGCCCAGGCCCCCACGGGAAGCAGCAGUAGGGGAACGUCGGCAAUGGACGGAAGUCUGACCGGGCAACGCCGCGGGAGUGAAGAAGGUUUUCGGAUCGUAAAGCUCUGUUGUAAGAGGAGAACGAGUGUGAGAGGGGAAAGUUCACACUGUGACGGUACCUUACCAGAAAGCGACGGCUAACUACGUG